GUGGCAUUUAGAGUAGGAAUUUCCAAAAUAUCUGUAGUUACCAUGGAAACAAUGCUAAAAGGUCAAAAAUUUCAAAAAAAAAAUAAAAAUGCUGCAAACUGGAUGAAACUUUACAGAAAUGGUCACUGGCAUGCGCAGAGUUGACUUUUGAAGUUGGAAUUUUCAAAAUGGCCGCCGUAACCAUGGAAACAGCAAAAAUUAAAAAAA
Molecule: long non-coding RNA, 207 nt
Filed under: Mytilus galloprovincialis (Mediterranean mussel)
Lineage: Eukaryota; Metazoa; Mollusca; Bivalvia; Mytilida; Mytilidae
Source: RNAcentral